Molecule: long non-coding RNA, 89 nt
Organism: Sinocyclocheilus grahami
Lineage: Eukaryota; Metazoa; Chordata; Actinopteri; Cypriniformes; Cyprinidae
Exons: 3
Source: RefSeq, a predicted model, not a curated record
UUCCUAUCUGAAAAUAAUCUCCAUCAGCAUCCAAUCUUGUAUUCAGUGUCAAAUUAAAUCCCAGAUUUCAAGCCUUGGCAAUCAUUUUC